AAGAGCUUGUUACUAUUAAGUACAGUAUCCUAUAGCAGCCUACAUGACCACACAAAAAUAAAAAUUGAGGUAUGGUCACAGCCUCGGGGCGUUGUAAAUUUCCAGACUGUGCGCAUUUGACAAAGAACUGAAAAAAGAUUGAACAUACCGGUAAUUUCCUUUUAAGGCACUACCCAAUCUGAUUGUAGGCUGACUGUUUCAAUAAUAGUUAUGGUAGCAAAUUCAGCACACGUUUCUAAUGGUUCGCUAUGCCGCGCGCCAGUGCCACGUCAGAUUCUUCAAAUCCUUAUGAUGACAUUACUCAAAACGACGUCAAUGCACCAGACUAUAAUAAUGUUUGAACUUUACAAUACAGUAAUGCAGUCACAUAGCCAAGCUUUGAUGCUGACUUACACAGCAAGUCAGGAUGACUGAAGCGCAAUUCGUUUCCACACAAAAAAAUCUAGAGCUCUAGAACUAGAACUACAUUACUGCGCUUGCUUGGGAAGAAGUUGCAAAUAGUCGUGAAAUAAACUAAAUGUUUUUUUGGUGAGAACUUGGUAUUACGUGAACGGUUUAAUCAAAACCCGUUAUCAGUGCUUAAAUCGGCAAGUUAGCGUCAGAAAACAAGAGUCCAGCUGCUGCUGCGUGCAUCACAUAUUUGUGCAGCCUAGCAUUUGCUAACAUCCCAAAUCGUAAGGUUCGGCUCAACUUACCUCAGAAACACAUGGCUCCCAAUAAUUGCUUACAUCAAACACAACGAGAAGGCAGACAAGACAAACCCUUUCUGUGGCGUCACGCAACAGACUGAAGAACCGGAUGAAGCCUAAAUUGAGGGGCAUGGGUGUCGCCAUCUUCGCGAAUUUAUCCGAGGUAGCGAUUCUGGAAUUUUUAUUUUUAUUGUUAUCAACAAAAAAUCAGCCACCAAGUGACCACAAACCCACAGUAACGAAACACAUUAAACUCCUUCUGAAAAUGUUGUAUGAGUAUAAACUAAUCUUCUGCGCCCACCAAUGGACACACGAGAUAUUGCAAGUAACAGGAACGAUGACUUCAGUGUUACAUCAAGUUUUAUCCUGGCACAUUUAUAUUUAUUUCUGAUCCUUCACUAUGUUCACAAUUAUUUAGGGCGGGCACAAAUGACCAUUUUGUUGUGUUUAGUCAAAGACUAACUUUGUAAGUACACCUUUGAUGACAAGAACGUGGUAACCGGAAAUAUGUUGGUGGUUUGCUUGGUCGGAUUCAUAAUUUGUUCAAUAAUAUCCGAAAUAAAAAAAAUUAAGAAGGUACGUCAUUGAGUUUGUAUAAUGCCAGAAACUAUAAAAUAACACGAAAACAAAUACCAACGCAUCCUGCUAGAACAUUUCCACAACACAAUCCAUUUACUCAGCCAUAUCUUUAAUGACAAAAAUCAUUCUUACAGGAUCAUUUCCAAUAAUGACUACAGACACCAAUACAUAAUCUAUCGCCAGCAGACUAUGCAUGUAAAAUAAAAGAAAAAACAAA
Molecule: long non-coding RNA, 1485 nt
Organism: Engraulis encrasicolus (European anchovy)
Lineage: Eukaryota; Metazoa; Chordata; Actinopteri; Clupeiformes; Engraulidae
Exons: 2
Source: RefSeq, a predicted model, not a curated record